This 258-nucleotide small nuclear RNA is filed under the name Erinaceus europaeus (western European hedgehog). RNAcentral's name for it is "7SK RNA". It matches the Rfam family "7SK RNA". Rfam says of the family: 7SK was discovered as an abundant small nuclear RNA in the mid-70s but a possible function has only recently been suggested. Two independent studies have found that 7SK RNA binds the CDK9/cyclin T complex (known as elongation factor P-TEFb). P-TEFb activates transcription by phosphorylating the C-terminal domain of RNA polymerase II. The record is from Rfam by way of RNAcentral. Lineage: Eukaryota; Metazoa; Chordata; Mammalia; Eulipotyphla; Erinaceidae.
GGAUGUGAGGGUGACCUAGCUGCGACGUAGGUGUCCCCCUUUCUCUCUCACUGCUCCAUGUGCAUCCCCCAAAAAGCUCCGUGGUCAGUAGAAGAGGACAGCCUUCCCUGAACUGAGACAGACCGGUCUUCACUCGAGGGUGUAUUGGUAGCUGUGCUCCCCUGCUAGAACCUCCAAACAAGCUCUCAAGGACAAAAGGUGGGGCAAAGGAACUAAAUGGUCUUCUAAAGAAGAUAUACACAUGGUCUAUAGAUGCAU